AUGUUGGACCCAAGAUCCGAAAUCUACCCCACCAUAGAGUAUCGCCCCAUCCAGCCCUCCGACCUCGAGGUUCUUGAGAAGAUUCAUCUCUCGCUGUUUCCUAUAAGGUACGAGAGAGAGUUCUUCUUGAACGUUGUCAAUGGUAAUGGUGUCAUUUCGUGGGGUGCUGUGGACACUAGCAGAUCGGAUGAAGGCAGGGAUGAGCUGAUAGGCUUUGUGACCACGAGGAUGAUUGCAGCAAAAGAUAGCGAGAUCGAGGAUUUAUUUAGAUAUAACAACUCGCACAAAUAUCUAACACUUCUUUAUAUCCUGACGCUUGGUGUAGUGGAUAGCUACAGAAACCUCGGCAUAGCUUCUUCGCUUGUUCGAGAGGUGAUUAAACAUGCUGCAAGUGUAUCAAAUUGCAGGGGUGUUUAUUUACAUGUCAUCUCAUAUAACCAGCCUGCAAUUAACUUUUACAAGAAGAUGCUAUUUAAGCUAGUCAGAAGACUUCCGAUGUUCUACUACAUAAGAGGGCAGCAUUAUGACUCAUACUUGUUUGUGUAUUAUGUCAAUGGGGGGCGUACGCCUUGUUCACCACUCUUAAACUCGCAUAUUGGACUUUUGCCUCCUUCUGCAACUUUUGGUGUUGCCUCUCGUGAAUACAUUAUUAGGGAGAUUGUAACUUCAUUUGUUGUUGACUUCAGGGCUUUCCUAAAGAUGCUGGUUGGCAAGAUCUGGAGCAAAGAGGAAAAGAGUAUCCCGAGAUGGUCCCGUUGUAAGGAAUCAACCACUCUAUUGACCUCACAGAAUAAUAAUAGUAAUAAUAAAAGGAUCAUAGCUGCUGAAGAUUCAAGAUGUCAUGUGUAA
This 849-nucleotide ribosomal RNA is filed under the name Triticum aestivum (bread wheat). Its description in RNAcentral is "partial small subunit ribosomal RNA". The record is from RNAcentral. Lineage: Eukaryota; Viridiplantae; Streptophyta; Magnoliopsida; Poales; Poaceae.